This 255-nucleotide ribosomal RNA is filed under the name uncultured bacterium. RNAcentral describes it as "partial 16S ribosomal RNA". It matches the Rfam family "Bacterial small subunit ribosomal RNA", at positions 526 to 779 of the family's 1533-position model. The record is from RNAcentral.
CGUAGGGCGCAAGCGUUAUCCGGAAUUAUUGGGCGUAAAGAGCUUGUAGGUGGCUUGUCGCGUCUGCCGUGAAACCCGAAGGCUCAACCUCGGGCGGUGCGGUGGGUACGGGCAGGCUAGAGUGUGGUAGGGGAGACUGGAACUCCUGGUGUAGCGGUGAAAUGCGCAGAUAUCAGGAAGAACACCGAUGGCGAAGGCAGGUCUCUGGGCCAUUACUGACACUGAGAAGCGAAAGCAUGGGUAGCGAACAGGAUU